UACGAAGGGGGCUAGCGUUACUCGGAUUGACUGGGCGUAAAGGGCGCGUAGGCGGUUCGUACAGUCAGACGUGAAAUUCCUGGGCUCAACCUGGGGGCUGCGUUUGAUACGUGCGGGCUUGAGUUCGGAAGAGGGUCGUGGAAUUCCCAGUGUAGAGGUGAAAUUCGUAGAUAUCGGGAGGAACAUCCGUGGCGAAGGCGGCCACCUGGACCAGCACUGACACUGAGGCACGAAGGUCAGGGGAGCAAACGGG
RNAcentral lists this ribosomal RNA (253 nucleotides) under uncultured bacterium. RNAcentral's name for it is "partial 16S ribosomal RNA". It matches the Rfam family "Bacterial small subunit ribosomal RNA", at positions 524 to 776 of the family's 1533-position model. The record is from RNAcentral.